Molecule: ribosomal RNA, 424 nt
Filed under: uncultured prokaryote
Description: bacterial SSU rRNA
Rfam family: Bacterial small subunit ribosomal RNA
Source: RNAcentral
UGGGGAAUCUUGGACAAUGGGCGCAAGCCUGAUCCAGCCAUGCCGCGUGGGUGAAGAAGGCCUUAGGGUUGUAAAGCCCUUUCAGUCGUGACGAUGAUGACGGUAGCGACAGAAGAAGCCCCGGCUAUCUCCGUGCCAGCAGCCGCGGUAAUACGGAGGGCGCAAGCGUUGUUCGGAUUUACUGGGCGUUAAGGGCGCGUAGGCGGGCGAUCAAGUCAGGGGUGAAAGGCCUGGGCUCAACCUGGGACGUGCCUUUGAAACUGAUUGUCUUGAGUGCGGGAGAGGGUGACGGAAUUCCCAGUGUAGAGGUGAAAUUCGUAGAUAUUGGGAAGAACACCGGUGGCGAAAGCGGCUCUCUGGUCCGGUUCUGACGCUGAGGCGCGAAAGCGUGGGGAGCAAACAGGAUUAGAUACCCGUGUAGUCC